This 512-nucleotide ribosomal RNA is filed under the name uncultured bacterium. RNAcentral describes it as "partial 16S ribosomal RNA". It matches the Rfam family "Bacterial small subunit ribosomal RNA", at positions 28 to 523 of the family's 1533-position model. The record is from RNAcentral.
GACGAACGCUGGCGGCGUGCCUAAUACAUGCAAGUCGAGCGGAUGGAAGGAAGCUUGCUUCCUGAAGUCAGCGGCGGACGGGUGAGUAACACGUGGGCAACCUGCCCCUAAGAUCGGGAUAACUUCGGGAAACCGGAGCUAAUACCGGAUAUGAUUAUGUCUCACAUGAGACAUAAUGGAAAGACGGUUCCGGCUGUCACUUAGGGAUGGGCCCGCGGCGCAUUAGCUAGUUGGUGAGGUAACGGCUCACCAAGGCGACGAUGCGUAGCCGACCUGGGAGGGUGAUCGGCCACACUGGGACUGAGACACGGCCCAGAAUCCUACGGGAGGCAGCAGUAGGGAAUCUUCCGCGAUGGACGAAAGUCUGUCGGGGCAACGCCGCGUGAGUGAAGAAGGUUUUCGGAUCGUAAAACUCUGUUGUUAGGGAAGAACAAGUACCAUAGUAACUGAUGGUACCUUGACGGUACCUAACCAGAAAGCCACGGCUAACUACGUGCCAGCCGCCGCCGUAA